RNAcentral lists this long non-coding RNA (602 nucleotides) under Salmo salar (Atlantic salmon). Its description in RNAcentral is "lncRNA (ENSSSAG00000113288.1)". Lineage: Eukaryota; Metazoa; Chordata; Actinopteri; Salmoniformes; Salmonidae. The record is from RNAcentral.
CAAGGCUUCAAUUCAAUGUACUAAAAUGUCUAUGUAUUUAACCUUCACAAUGUGCUGCUGAACGAACCCAAGAGAGAAAAUCCAACCUGGAGUUUGUUUUGAUGCUCUUGGCCUUACUCCUGGAAAACCUUUUACUCAGUGACUCCCUGGUCUGGACUGCUCUGGUCCUGAGCCAUGCUCUGCAGAUAGAACCAGAACUCUGCUUGGGUCCCCUGUUAAAACUGCUGCUUUUACAGUUACAACUCUGUGAGGUCUUGGCAGUGGUACAGUAUUACUUUCAGAGCCCUUUGUUAAUUGUUACAAUAUCUGUGGUAUAUCUCACUUAAACAUAUAGGCCUAGGUAUUCCUUUAUAAAUAUAUAGCCCUAGGUAUUCCUUUAUAAACAUAUAGGCCUAGGUAUUCCUUUAUAAAAUAUAUAGGCCUAGAUAUUCCUUUAUAAAAUAUAUAGCCCUAGGUAUUCCUUUAUAAAAUAUAUAGGCCUAGGUAUUCCUUUAUAAAUAUAUAGGCCUAGAUAUUCCUUUGUAAAAUAUAUAGCCCUAGGUAUUCCUUUGGUCUUCUAAUAAGACUUUCUGUUGUGGGGAGUUGUGCUGUAUAUCUCCAUG